UACGGAGGGUGCGAACGUUAAUCGGAAUCACUGGGCGUAAAGCGCGCGUAGGCGGUUUGUUAAGUGGGAUGUGAAAUCCCCGGGCUUAACCUGGGAAUUGCAUUUCAAACUGGCCGACUAGAGUACGGUAGAGGGAGGUAGAAUUUCCUGUGUAGCGGUGAAAUGCGUAGAUAUAGGAAGGAAUACCUGUGGCGAAGGCGGCCUCCUGGAUCGAUACUGACGCUGAGGCGCGAAAGCGUGGGGAGCAAACAGG
Molecule: ribosomal RNA, 253 nt
Filed under: uncultured bacterium
Lineage: Bacteria
Description: partial 16S ribosomal RNA
Rfam family: Bacterial small subunit ribosomal RNA
Source: RNAcentral